UGAGGGACUUUACACAUCGUAUUAAGGGUUUGAGCUUCAACUUGGGGUCGUCGGGAGCCAUUGAAGGUUUUUUGUUGUUUGUUUUUUGAGACGGGGUUUUGCUCUUGUUGCCCAGGCUGGGGUGCAGUGGCGCGAUCUCGGCUCACUGCAACCUCUGUCUCCCGGGUUCGAGCGGUUCUUGUGCCUCACCUUCCCAAGUAGCUGGGAUUACAGGCGCCAGUCACCACGCCCAGCUAAUUUUUGUGUUUUUAGUAGAGACUAGGUUUCACUCUGUUGCCCAGGCUGGUCUCCAACUCCUGACCUCAGGUGAUCCGCCCGCCUCGGCCUCCCAAAGUGGUGGGAUUACAGGCGUGAGCCACCGCUCACGGCUUUUUUUUUUUUUUUUUUUAAGUAGAGACGGGCGGUGGGGGCGGGGGGGGGAGUCUCACUAUGUUGCCCAGGCUGGUCUCGAGCCCUGGCCGCAAGAGAUCCUCCCGCCUCGGCCUCCCAAAGCGCUGAGAUUACAGGCGUGAGCCACCACGCCCGGCGUAAGAUUUUGUUUUUAAAGGCCUAAUUACAGUGAGAACAGAUGAGGCAAGGACACCCAUUAGGAGGCUAUUACAUAAUCUAGAUGAAAAGUGAGAGCGGCCCGAAUUAGGAGGUGGAGCGAAAAGAAUGGAGAAAUAUGGAGCAUAGUCAAGACGCAGUUGUUAACGAUUUGCCGGUUUCUGGCCUUAACAUCUGAGAGUAGUGUGCCUCCAGUCACUGAAAUAAUGAACACAGGAGAGGUGUAAAGGAAUCAGUUUGCAGGGCAGACAAUAUGUUUUUUAAAAGAUACAGUAUCAUAAAAUGCACACUAGAAGUGUACAUUCAGUGGUUUCCAGUACGUUCACAGGAUUUGCAGCCAUCGUCGCUAAUUCCAGAACGUUUUAAAACCCCAAAUCGAACCUGCCGUACCCAUUCGUAGUCACUCCGCAAUUCCCCCGACCCCAUCCCCUGGCAAUCACUUAUCGGCUUUCUGUCUCUGUGGUUUUGCGUAUUCAGUACAUUUUAUGUAAAUGGGAUCAUGUGAUACUUGGCUUUUUCUGCUGGGCUUUUAUUAAGCAUGUUUUCAAGAUUUCAUCCAUGUAGAUGAAUCAGUACUGCAUGCCUUUUCAUGGCUGCAUAAUCACGUGUUUGGAUGGACCAUGUUUUGUUUAUCCAUGUAUCAGGUGAUGGGCAUAUGGAUGUUUUUACUUUUUGGCUGUUAGAAAUAAUGCUGCUAUGAACAUUCGUGUUCAUAACACAAGUUUUUGUGUUCUAGGAGUGGAAUUACUGGGUAAGACUACAUUUGAUUCUGAAUGUUGAGCUUCAAAACCUUCCAAGAGGUUUUCCUUGAUGAAGGAUUUAGGAGGUGUUUACUUGCUCUCUGGCUUGGAAAUCUAAGUUAGUUUGUAAUAUGGUUUCCAACUGGAUAAAGAAGACAGAACAAGAAUGAUAAGCAGCCCAGAGGCAAGGGUAGGGCAGGG
Molecule: long non-coding RNA, 1487 nt
Filed under: Homo sapiens (human)
Lineage: Eukaryota; Metazoa; Chordata; Mammalia; Primates; Hominidae
Description: HSALNT0226975
Source: RNAcentral